This 460-nucleotide ribosomal RNA is filed under the name uncultured bacterium. Its description in RNAcentral is "partial 16S ribosomal RNA". It matches the Rfam family "Bacterial small subunit ribosomal RNA", at positions 338 to 795 of the family's 1533-position model. The record is from RNAcentral.
CCUACGGGGCGCAGCAGUGAGGAAUAUUGGUCAAUGGGCGCGAGCCUGAACCAGCCAAGUAGCGUGAAGGAUGACUGCCCUAUGGGUUGUAAACUUCUUUUAUGAAGGAAUAAAGUGAGGCACGUGUGACUUUUUGUCUGUACUUCAUGAAUAAGGACCGGCUAAUUCCGUGCCAGCAGCCGCGGUAAUAACGAAGAUCCGAGCGUUAUCCGGAUUUAUUGGGUUUAAAGGGAGCGUAGGUGGAUUGUUAAGCCUGUUGUGAAAGUUUGCGGCUCAACCGUAAAAUUGCAGCUGAAACUGGCAGUCUUGAGUACAGUAGAGGUGUGCGGAAUUCGUGGUGUAGCGGUGAAAUGCUUAGAUAUCACGAAGAACUCCGAUUGCGAAGGCAGCUCACUGGAGUGCAACUGACACUGAAGCUCGAAAGUGUGGGUAUCGAACAGGAUUAGAUACCCUAGUAGUC